Molecule: ribosomal RNA, 437 nt
Filed under: uncultured bacterium
Lineage: Bacteria
Description: bacterial SSU rRNA
Rfam family: Bacterial small subunit ribosomal RNA
Source: RNAcentral
GGGCCCGCACAAGCGGUGGAGUAUGUGGUUUAAUUCGAUGCAACGCGAAGAACCUUACCAGGGUUUGACAUCCUGCGAAUCUCUUGGAAACAGGAGUAGUGCCUUCGGGAAACGCAGUGACAGGUGGUGCAUGGCUGUCGUCAGCUCGUGUCGUGAGAUGUUGGGUUAAGUCCCGCAAACCGAGCGCAACCCACGUCUUUAGUUGCCAGCAUUCAGUUGGGCACUCUAGAGAGACUGCCGGUGAUAAACCGGAGGAAGGUGUGGAUGACGUCAAGUCAUCAUGCCCCUUACAUCCUGGGCUACACACGGUACUACAAAUGCUACGGACAAAGGGCUGCAAGUUCGCGAGGACAAAGCAAAAUCCCAUAAAACCGUGGCUCAGUUCAGAUCGUAGGCUGCAACUCGCCUACGUGAAGGCGGAAAUCGCUAGUAAAUCG